This 74-nucleotide transfer RNA is filed under the name Acidimicrobiaceae bacterium. RNAcentral's name for it is "tRNA-Val". It matches the Rfam family "tRNA". From Rfam's summary of the family: Transfer RNA (tRNA) molecules are approximately 80 nucleotides in length. Their secondary structure includes four short double-helical elements and three loops (D, anti-codon, and T loops). The record is from RNAcentral. Lineage: Bacteria; Bacillati; Actinomycetota; Acidimicrobiia; Acidimicrobiales; Acidimicrobiaceae. RNAcentral also lists the same sequence under 1 other name.
GGGCGCGUAGCUCAGUUGGUUAGAGCGCUUCCCUUACAAGGAAGAAGUCGGGGGUUCGAGUCCCUCCGCGCCCA